CCCCCCGCCUGUCUGCCACUUCUGCAAACGUAAUGGAGCUUUUCUGGGCAGCCGGAGUGCAGCCGAGGCCCGGGCCCCACACAGGCGGGCCGGCCAGAUUUCCUUUACCUCACUCUCUUGGGCCCCCUCGGGGUCACAGUCUUGGAAUAAUCCACCUGGCAGCAGCGGGGGAGCCCCUGCAGGAACACGCCCCCCCCAAAGCCCCUCGCCUGAGGGGGGUGAAUCGUGAGCCAGCCAGCUUUCAGGGGGACCCUGCUGGCCUCCAAGGUCUGAGGGGCAAGGGGGCCUCCGGGCUAGGGCAGCUCUCCCUGGCCUCUUUGGCCCCAAGGUCCCCAGGUGGACAAAGCGGCCCCCGAGUGGACACAGCGGCCCCCGAGUGGACAAAGUGGCCCCCAGUGGACAAAGUGGCCCCUGAGGUCCCCGGGUGGACAAAGUGGCCCCUGAGGUCCCCGGGUGGACAAAGUGGCCCCCGAGUGGACAAAGCGGCCCCUGAGGUCCCCGGGUGGACAAAGUGGCCCCUGAGGUCCCCGGGUGGACAAAAUGGCCCCCGAGUGGACACAGCGGCCCCCGGGUGGACAAAGCGGCCCCUGAGGUCCCUGAGCGGUCACAAGUGGCCGAGCAUCGCAAAUGUUUCCUCGGGCCCUGACAGCUAUUGACCAGGAUGGAGGUUCUGGGUCAGGAUGGGGUGGGCCGAUGCCGCCAGGCCCCUUUGGCCCAGCCCGAGGCCCCGGGUCACCCUGGCUUCUGAUCGGCGCCUCCGCCAACAGCGCGAGGGUAGGUCGUUGCGGGGGCCGGACGCUAGGUGUCGCCGUCUCCCCGCGGUUUCAAUCAGGCAAAUUCCAGAGCCCUGACUCACCGCGCCGCGCCGCUGUCUGCGGUUCUGUGGCUCCAGAGCCCUAUGUGAGAAGUACGUCCACGGCAUGACGGGAGUAGUCCGGCAGGCCAAUGUCACCGGCUCGCUGAACAUGAAUUAUUUCUGAAGCAAAGGAAGAUGGUACCUGGGAAGGCGGCAACCUGGAUUCUGGGAGGGGCCUGGCUGUGAAGAUUCCCUGGUGGUGUCGGAAAGCUUCUUUCUACGUGGAGAGCCUUGGGAAGCGUUCUGUUACAUAGCUGAGGAAGGGGAGACCCCUCGGACCCAGAAGGGGAACAGGAGCUCCUUUUGCCCAGUCUGGCAUUUAUCCUGGGGUCUCCAUAGUGGUCUAGGGUGGUGGUAGUUUCCUCUUUAGCAGUGAUGAAGUAGUGCCAGAUACUGGUUCCAGUUCCAGCCCUGCCCCUGGGUUUCCUUGUUUUGCCUGCCAGUAGUACCAAGGUGCCAGGCUAGCACCUGCUCCUCCUCCUCCUCCUCUCCAUAGUCAGAGAGCCCCUGGUGACCCCACGUGGUUCUAUGUGAGUCAAUGUGAUGUGGCCUCCCUGUGCUGUGAUCUGCAUUGUGUUACUCCAAGUGGGGCUUGCUCUUCUGUGAUCUAGUUUACGAAAUGCCUGCAUCAACUUACUUGUGAAAAUGCAUUGAAAAGAUAACUCUUCAAGUCCACAAUGUGUAAAAUAAAGAAAAUAGCAAAGACCA
Molecule: non-coding RNA, 1564 nt
Organism: Monodelphis domestica (gray short-tailed opossum)
Lineage: Eukaryota; Metazoa; Chordata; Mammalia; Didelphimorphia; Didelphidae
Source: RefSeq, a predicted model, not a curated record